RNAcentral lists this ribosomal RNA (253 nucleotides) under uncultured bacterium. RNAcentral's name for it is "partial 16S ribosomal RNA". It matches the Rfam family "Bacterial small subunit ribosomal RNA", at positions 524 to 776 of the family's 1533-position model. The record is from RNAcentral.
UACAGAGGUCUCAAGCGUUAAUCGGAAUUACUGGGCUUAAAGGGUCCGCAGGCGGUCUGACAAGUACCUUGUGAAAUAUCAGGUCUCAACCCUGAAACUGCUCGGUAGACUGUCAGACUUGAGUGCAAAAGGGGUCGCUGGAACUCUAGGUGGAGCGGUGAAAUGCGUAGAUAUCUAGAGGAAUACCGGUGGCGAAGGCGGCAUCCUGGACCGAGAUUGACGCUGAACGGCGAAAGCUAGGGGAGCAAACGGG